Molecule: ribosomal RNA, 4866 nt
Filed under: Triticum aestivum (bread wheat)
Lineage: Eukaryota; Viridiplantae; Streptophyta; Magnoliopsida; Poales; Poaceae
Description: partial small subunit ribosomal RNA
Source: RNAcentral
AUGGCCUUCAUGGCGGCGCUGGAGGCCGAUCUGCGCGCUCUCUCCGCCGAGGCGCGCCGCCGCCACCCCGCCGUCAAGGACGCCGCCGAGCACGCAACACUCAAGCUCCGUUCUCUAUCUAAUCCAAGGGAAAUAGCUCAAAAGGGGGAUAUAUUACGGAUCUUUCUGAUGGCAUGCAGUGUCAAAUCAGUGAAGCUGAGUGUGAUAGGACUAUCCUGUUUGCAAAAGCUUAUAUCACAUGAUGCUGUAGCAUCAUCUGCGUUGAAGGAGAUAUUAGCUACUUUGAGGGAUCACUCAGAGAUGCCAGAUGAGAGUCUUCAGCUGAAGACAUUGCAAACAAUGUUGAUUGUCUUUCAGUCACAUUUACGUCCUGAAAGUGAGGAGGACAUGUCUCAAGCCCUUGGCAUAUGUCUUCACCUACUUGAAAGCAGUCGAUCUUCUGACAGUGUCCGCAACACGGCAGCAGCUACAUUUAGACAAGCAGUGGCAUUGGUCUUUGAUAAUGUUGUUCUUGCCGAAUCACUUCCGACUGGUAAAGCAUCCCCAGCAAGACUCGGCUCGAGUGCUAGCUCUGUUGCCAACAAUGUUACUCGUAGCUUCGGCCAGACGCUAUCACUAGCAUUUAGCUAUGGAGAACUCACCAUGAGGGAAGAUCUUACUGACGUUGGAAAACUCGGUCUCCGUCUGCUCGAAGACCUGACUGCUCUUGCUGCAGGUGGAUCUGCUAGGUGGUUGCAUGCUCAGUCACUGCAUCGGACGUUUGCCCUUGACAUACUUGAGUUUGUGCUAUCGACAUAUGUUCCUGUAUUCCGGGCAUUAUUAUCUUACCAGCAGGUAUUGCGCCAUCAAAUAUGCUCACUUCUUAUGACUUCACUCCGCACGAAUGUGGAGCUUGAAGGUGAAGCAGGGGAACCUGCUUUUCGCCGUUUAGUCCUACGUUUGGUUGCUCAUGUUAUCAGACUCUACAGCUCUUCACUUGUCACUGAAAGUGAGGUAUUUCUGAACAUGCUUGUGAAAGUUACCCGCCUGGAUUUACCUUUAUGGCAUCAGAUACUUGUUCUCGAAAUUUUGAGGGGUUUUUGUGUAGAAGCUCGCACUCUGCGCUCCCUAUUUCAGACGUUUGACAUAAACCCUACAAAUACUAAUGUUGUGGAGAACAUCGUUAAAGCACUUGCUUUGGUGGUAGCUACUAUUCAGGCUUCAGAUUCAAGUGAAGAGACUCUUGCAGCUGUUGCUGGAAUGUUCAGUAGUAAAGCUAAAGGGAUUGAGUGGAGCAUGGAUACCGAUGCAUCAAAUGCUGCUGUUUUGGUUGCUAGCGAAGCACAUACCAUCACUCUUGCCCUUGAAGGCCUCUUAGGUGUAGUUUUCACCAUUGCUACUUUGACAGACGAGGCUCUAGAUGCUGGUGAGCUUGAAUCACCAAGAUGUGAAGUGGAUCGUCUGGUAUGUAGUGGACAAUCAGCUCUUCUUUGUGUCGCCAUGGUCAAUUCAACAUGGUUAACCAUCCUGGACUCCCUUUCACUUAUUUUAAUGAGGUCACAGGGAGAAGCUAUAAUAUUAGAAAUACUGAAAGGAUACCAGGCAUUUACUCAGGCCUGUGGAGUGCUCCGUGCUAUAGAGCCAUUAAACUCUUUUCUAGCAUCGCUUUGCAAGUUUACAAUCAAUAACCCAAAUGAAGGAGAGAAGAGAAGUAUCUUGCUCUCUCCUGGAUCGAAGAAGCCAGAAACUUCAAUGGAUCAGCGUGAUAGUAUUAUUUUGACACCGAAAAAUGUGCAGGCAUUGCGGACACUUUUUAAUGUGGCACAUCGAUUACACAAUAUCCUGGGCCCCUCCUGGGUUUUGGUCCUGGAGACUCUUGCAGCACUUGAUAGAACUAUUCAUUCUCCGCAUGCUUCAACCCAGGAAGUAUCGGCUUCUGUUUCAAGACUCUCAAGGGAUACAUCUGGACAGUACAGUGACUUCCAUAUUCUCUCUUCUUUAAAUUCUCAGUUGUUUGAAAGUUCAGCCUUGAUGAAUGUAGCUGCAGUUAAGUCACUUUUGUCUGCAUUGCAUCAAUUGUCAAGUCAGCACAUAUCAGGAAAUUCUCAAUUAUCAGGCCAGCAGAUUGGGAGCAUUGCAUUUUCAGUGGAGCGCAUGACAUCGAUACUUGUCAAUAAUCUGCAUCGAGUUGAAUCAAUAUGGGAUCAAAUUGCUGCGCACCAUCUUGAGCUUGCCAAUUGCCCCAACCCACAAUUACGUAAUAUGGCGCUUGAUUCAUUAGAUCAUUCAAUUUGCUCUGUAGUGGGUUCUGAAAAGUUUCAGGGAAUCAGUUCAGCACCUCAUCCUUUGAAAGAGUACCAAUUGGUUGAAGAAAGUGAAACACGAUCAUUUGAGUAUGCAGUUUUAUCUCCAUUGGUGAUCCUUUAUUCGUCUAACAAGAAUAUUGAUGUUCAAAUGGGUGCACUGAAAAUUCUUUUGCAUGUUCUUGAGAGACAUGGAGAAAAGCUGUCCUAUAGCUGGCCCAGCAUUCUUCAUAUGUUGAGGGCUGUUGCCGAUGCAUCUGAAAAAGAUGUCAUCUCCUUAGGUUUCCAGAGUGUACGUGUGAUCAUGAAUGAAGGACUGGCGACAAUACCUGUACAAUGUCUUGAUGAGUGCAUUUUGGUUACUGGGGCGUAUGGUGCCCAGAAAACUGACAUAAACAUAAGUUUGACAGCAGCUGGUCUUUUGUGGACUGCGACCGAUUUUAUUGUGAAGGGGUUAAGUGGCAGGUCUGUUCAGAAAGCUAAUCACUUGAAUGAAGAGGUUCAGUUGGGUGUAUCAACGGAAGAGGGAGAUAUACCAACCAGUGAGGAAGGCGUCAAGCGAAAUCCCUUGCAACAACUGGUUGAUUACAAUAAGCUGUUCUUUUCAGUUUUUUCCGUCCUUCAAAAAUUGGGUGCAGAUGACCGUCCGGAGGUUCGGAAUUCAGCAGUUCGGACUCUGUUUCAAACUCUCUGCACCCAUGGUCAAAAACUUUCUCUAAGUAUGUGGGAGGAUUGCCUGUGGAUAUAUGUUUUCCCAAUGCUAGAACAUGUUUCCCACUUGGCAUCUACCUCGUCUAAAGAUGAAUGGCAUGGGAAGGAAUUAGGAACUCGUGCAGGGAAAGCUGUUCAUAUGCUUAUCCAUCACAGUCGAAAUACAGCGCAAAAACAAUGGGAUGAAACUAUUGUUCUUUUAUUAGGUGGUAUAGCACGGCUUUUACGAUCAUUUUUCCCCCUCCUCCAGCAAUUGAGCAAAUUUUCUUCCGGUUGGGCAAUUUUGCUUGCGUUUCUAAAAAAUAGCAUCUUAAAUGGUAGCAAGGAGGUAGCUCUUGCAGCUAUUAAUUGUUUGCAGACAUUUGUUAGUUCAAACUGUCCGAAGGGCAAUCUAGAAUCCUCCUUUGUCAAAUCCGUUCUUGAUAUUUACGAACUUGUUCUUCAAACUUCACCAAACUAUAAGAGUGACUCGGCUGAUAAGGUGAAGCAAGAGGUCCUUCGUGGUCUUGGAGAUCUUUACGUUCAAGCGCAAUCUCUAUUUAAUGAUGACAUGUAUCUAAGGCUCAUGGCUGUUAUGCAUCUAAUGAUUAAGAGUUCCAUGAAUUCUUCAGAUUAUGACAGUGAAUUGGGUAGCAUCCCUGCUGUGCAGCGUGGUAUCUUAGAAAUUAUUCCUAUGCUACGCCCAACAACCAUGUUAUCAUCAAUGUGGUCGCCUCUCCUGCUUGAGCUGCUAUGCUAUCUUAACGGAGAAGAAAGCCCCCUGCACAGGAAUAGUAAAGAAAUACGUGAACAGAAUUCUGAUGCACUGGCCAAUGGCACAAAGCGUGCUUCUGUUGAACAAGGCCAUAUCAAUGGCACUGGCACAAAAGGGGAUACUGUGGUGGGCUGUGGCUGGGGCAUUCUAUUUAUAGAAAAGCUUGUGCCAAUCAUGGUCAACCUUUUCCUGGAGGCUCCACCAAAUGAAAGGUGUAGUGCCUCACCACAGGUUAUUCAAGGUCUUGGAAGGUGCAUGAACACAAGGAGAGACAAUCCCAGGGGUACCCUUUGGAGAGUUUCUGCUGAAUGCUUCAAUCGUGUUGUGACAGAUGAGGUGAGGCAGGAAAAUGCUGAAUGUGGAAGUGACAUGAAUUCAUAUAGACUUUCUAGAGCUCGCUUCUGGAAGGAGGUUGCAGAUGUAUACGAAACCUUUCUUGUUGGAUCUUGUGGGCGUGUGUUGUCUUCAGAUGUUCCUUCAGCUGACUCUGCUACAGCUGAUGAGAGCCUUGAGAUGACUGUCCUCACUGUUUUUGGAGACAGUGUUCUGAAAUUGCAGAAGGAGGCUCCUGUUGAGGUAUUGCAAAGGCUUGUGAACUGUCUUGAUCGUUGUGCAUCACGAACAGGAUCCCUACCUAUUCAAACUGUCGGUCUUCUACCAUUGCACUGCAGCAGAUUUUCUCUGGGCUGUUUGCAGAUGAUGUUUUCUUUAUGCAGUUGUAUAUUGAAGACAAGCUCAUACCCUGCAGUAUCAGAAACCAGCAAAGUUUCUAUUUCCAUUCUUACAAAGCGAUGUGAGGUUAUACUGGGUCAGUUUUUAGCUGAUGAAAAUGACCUAGGAGACCGUCCAUUGCCCAGUGUGAGGAUUGAAGAAACGGUUUGUGUCCUUCAAGAGCUUGCUAGGCUAAUAUUAGAUAUUGAAACAGCUAAUGCUCUCAACAUACCACUGUACCUGAAAGAUGCUUUACGGGAAAACCAGUCCCAUGGGAGGGCCCAUUUGUUGUCGUUGCUUCCCACUUUCUCUGAGCUUGUCGUCUCAAGAGAACCCAGGGUUCGGGAGCUUGUUCAGGUCCUUCUCAGACUCAUCUCCUCAGAGCUAGGACUGCAACGCCUGACGUAA